UACGAAGGGGGCUAGCGUUGCUCGGAAUCACUGGGCGUAAAGGGUGCGUAGGCGGGUCUUUAAGUCAGGGGUGAAAUCCCGGAGCUCAACUCCAGAACUGCCUUUGAUACUGAAGAUCUUGAGUUCGGGAGAGGUGAGUGGAACUGCGAGUGUAGAGGUGAAAUUCGUAGAUAUUCGCAAGAACACCAGUGGCGAAGGCGGCUCACUGGCCCGAUACUGACGCUGAGGCACGGAAGCGUGGGGAGCAAACAGG
This 253-nucleotide ribosomal RNA is filed under the name uncultured bacterium. Its description in RNAcentral is "partial 16S ribosomal RNA". It matches the Rfam family "Bacterial small subunit ribosomal RNA", at positions 524 to 776 of the family's 1533-position model. The record is from RNAcentral.